RNAcentral lists this RNase P RNA (382 nucleotides) under Dehalococcoidia bacterium. RNAcentral describes it as "RNase P RNA component class A". It matches the Rfam family "Bacterial RNase P class A". From Rfam's summary of the family: Ribonuclease P (RNase P) is a ubiquitous endoribonuclease, found in archaea, bacteria and eukarya as well as chloroplasts and mitochondria. The record is from RNAcentral. Lineage: Bacteria; Bacillati; Chloroflexota; Dehalococcoidia.
CAACUGAGUCAGGUGAUCGCGAGCUGCAAGGUUCGAGGAAAGUCCGAGCUCCAACGGGCAGAGUGCUGGGUAACUCCCAGGAGGGGUGACCCUACGGAAAGUGCCACAGAAACAUACCGCCUAGACGGACCCAGGGGCGCAAGCCGCUGAGUUGCGGUCGGUAAGGGUGAAACGGUGGGGUAAGAGCUCACCAGCGGCCGGGUGACCGGUCGGCUAGGCAAACCCCAUUUGGAGCAAGACCUAAUAGGAGGACUAUAAGGCGUGCCCGUCCUGUCCUCGGGUUGGUCGCUUGAGGUGUCAGGUAACUGACAUCCUAGAUAGAUGAUCACCAUUCGGGGUAAACUCCCGGAUACAGAACUCGGCUUACAGACCCAGUUGGGUC